UGUUGACACAGGAGAUAAGAUGGGCAGAUGGGAAGAGAGGAGGGAGGGCUGCCACUGCCCAGCAGGCAGCCGGGCAGCCUGUGGAUCCCAAGAUUGGGGUAGUUCCUUGGGUUGGUCUCAGUGUUGUGGGAGGAAGACAUAAAGGAGCCCAGAGCCACUUCCUAAGGGCUCUGAAACCUGUCCACAUGAAAUAGACACCAACACUCAGCUGUGAUCUCUUUGAAUGUGACAAGGGUAAGUUCCAAUUUUCCCUUUUUCAGGUUUAGAACACUUAAAUGCAUUUUCCUGAAGCCCUUUAACCUCCAUCCCGUAGGAUGCCCUCUCACCUUCUCACAGAGGCCCCGUGGCUGUCACCUUUCCAUGUGGCAGGCAGCUGAACUGUGUGCGGGGAUCCUCCUUGGAGAGGCAAAGCCUUUGAUGUGCAGCAGGCAGCGGACCGAUCUGAAGUAGUCAUCUGACUUCGACAACUGCUUUGCUUUCCUCAUGGCAGAUGCCGGUAAUGGUGGCCGAGUAGUGGGGCCGCACAGAGAUCCCGGUCUUCUCUGAGGCUGGUGCUGUGCUUGCUUUAUGUGUCCACGGACCUUCAUCUGCACCUUUGGAGCCAAACAGCAUUUGGACCUGGAAAUGUUUUGGAUUAUGGUGUGGAUACCACAUACCCUACACCACCCCAUGAAGUAUGGGAAGCACCCUGUAAGCAAAUGGGUCUUCUGGGGAGACAGAGGCACCUAGGACCAGACAUGUGGAGGGCGGACGACCGCAGGCAGGAGCCUCUGGCCAGAGCAGCCUCUAGAGAUGCUCCUCAUCAUCCCUUCUGGGAUUACUUUUUUAAAAAGAACUUGAAAAAUAAUUCUGAAAUGAACUGUACACACGAAAGAGUAUUUGUAACUUACAUAUACAUAGAAAUAGCAAUAAUAAAUGAAGACACAUCCAGGUUAGCAGUUAGAACGUUACCCUAACUUCUAAAUGGUCCCAUAAUCUUCUUCUUUUUUUUUUUCUUCACUUUCACUGCAGUAACCACUGGCCCAGAUUAUAUGUUAAUCAUUACCCUGCCUUGUUUAAAGUUUUACUGUAAAUGUGUGAGUCGCCAAGCAAUAGAUGGCUAGAUUUUAUCUGUUUUUGAAUAUUUGUAAAUAAAGUU
This 1138-nucleotide long non-coding RNA is filed under the name Saimiri boliviensis boliviensis (Bolivian squirrel monkey). Its description in RNAcentral is "lncRNA (ENSSBOG00000036766.1)". The record is from RNAcentral. Lineage: Eukaryota; Metazoa; Chordata; Mammalia; Primates; Cebidae.